CCUACGGGUGGCACCAGUGGGGAAUAUUGCCCAAUGGGCGCAAGCCUGAUGCAGCCAUGCCGCGUGUAUGAAGAAGGCCUUCGGGUUGUAAAGUACUUUCAGCGGGGAGGAAGGUGUUGUGGUUAAUAACCUCAUCGAUUGACGUUACCCGCAGAAGAAGCACCGGCUAACUCCGUGCCAGCAGCCGCGGUAAUACGGAGGGUGCAAGCGUUAAUCGGAAUUACUGGGCGUAAAGCGCACGCAGGCGGUCUGUCAAGUCGGAUGUGAAAUCCCCGGGCUCAACCUGGGAACUACAUUCGAAACUGGCAGGCUAGAGUCUUGUAGAGGGGGGUAGAAUUCCAGGUGUAGCGGUGGAAUGCGUAGAGAUCUGGAGGAAUACCGGUGGCGAAGGCGGCCCCCUGGACAAAGACUGACGCUCAGGUGCGAAAGCGUGGGGAGCAAACAGGAUUAGAUACCCGGGUAGUC
This 465-nucleotide ribosomal RNA is filed under the name uncultured bacterium. RNAcentral's name for it is "bacterial SSU rRNA". It matches the Rfam family "Bacterial small subunit ribosomal RNA", at positions 338 to 795 of the family's 1533-position model. The record is from RNAcentral.